AACACUACAAAAAAAGAGGUGAAUUAAAUCACUUAAAUUGUAUCAGAAAAUUAAAUGAUUCUGUUUUAAAUUACUUAUCUACAAAUGAGACAAAUAUAUAUUAUUUAGCAUCAAUUAUAAUAAGUAAUGUCACUUUUAAUUUAUUUUGCAUCAAUUCAAUAUAAGUGAUAUGCUUUUUAUUCAUUUGUAUCAAUUUAACACAAAUGAUAUUAUUAUAUGUAACUGUAUCAGUUAAAUAAUUGAUACGUUUACUUAUUUUGUUUAACAUCACUUAUAUAUUUGAUACAAAACUGACAUCACUAUAAAAAUGAUAUUAAUAAAAAUUAUGUAAUUAUAUAUUAUUCUAACAUCUAUUUAAUAAAAAUGAUGUUAUUUAUUUUAUUUAUCAUUUAAAUAUUUGCUGUAAUAAUUUUUUUAAAUAGCUAAAAUUUCAACAAAAAAAAAAGAAUACGAUGUAGUUAAGAUUUUGUAGCUUUAAUAUUUGUUUGUGGCUCUAAUUUAGUUGUACUUUAUUCUUAACAGUUUUUUCUUAUCCAAAAGCAUAUUCUUUUUUCUAUACCCAUUUCGUCUCUCUCGUGCUUAAACUUCUUUUACAGUUAUAUUGUUAUUAGAUACAAAUAUUCUACAAACAAUCAAACUUUUUUUUCUCAAUGAGUAAGGAUGAGUGGAUGACGUCCCAUUAGCAAGCCAUUGGUGGCAUGAAGAAUUUUCCCUUAUAUGAGAGGAUGAUUAUGUUUCUUCGUUUGCAUGAUUUGAAAGAAAACUAAGGUUUGCUAAUUCAACGAACUUGAUGGAAAAAUUCUAAAAAGAUUAUACUGGAAACAUAUGUCGAGAGAAAGGGUUCUGAUGGUUUGAUUAUGUAAUCUGACAUUGAUUUCAGCAGAAGCGUGAGGUGUUGGAGGAGGAAAUUAAUUUUGGUCAGGUGUAAAUGUAUUCUUCGGGAAAAUGACUGAUCAAUGAUCAUAAAUGCCCAGAAGUAUAUGAGAAGAUGGAAGUCUACAAGAAGAAGAAUAAAAGAUAAUUUUGGUUGAAGAACUAUCGUUGAAAUUUUUUUAAUUGUUGUUCAAUCUUUUUUUUUCCUUUCACUUCAUUUUUAGAGCUUCUAUGAAUAUAUUUAUUUAUUUUUCUUUCUUUGUAUUCACUUUUCAAUAGAAAAAAUAUUAAUAUAAAAUAUUUAUUUUGGAAAUAAA
Long non-coding RNA from Brassica napus (rape), 1190 nucleotides. RefSeq lists it as uncharacterized. The transcript is spliced from 2 exons. The record is from RefSeq and is a predicted model, not a curated record. Lineage: Eukaryota; Viridiplantae; Streptophyta; Magnoliopsida; Brassicales; Brassicaceae.